Molecule: unclassified non-coding RNA, 226 nt
Filed under: Hevea brasiliensis (rubber tree)
Lineage: Eukaryota; Viridiplantae; Streptophyta; Magnoliopsida; Malpighiales; Euphorbiaceae
Source: RNAcentral
GACUGGAAAUUGGUUGGUGUAGUUUCGGAUUAUGAUUUGUUAGCACUGGACUCCAUAUCAGGUAGUGGACAUACAGAUACAGGCAUUUUCCCCGAGGCCGAUAGCACCUGGAAAACGUUUAACGAGAUACAGACGCUGUUGAGUAAAACCAAUGGCAAACUGGUUAGCGAGGUGAUGACGCCUGCCCCGCUUGUUGUUCGAGAAACAACCAACCUCGAAGAUGCAG